GGUUAGUUACUCUACCAAGGUUACUCUAACCGCUCCAUCGCCUAUCUCUCCUUUAUCUCUUCCGGUCUACCAUGCCUACUUCAAUCAUCGUUCUGCUUAUCUCUUCAAAGGAUUAAUUCAACCUCGAUCUCUUUUUCCACUUUCUGCGACAAUAGACUACCCAUCGUUCUCCAAUCACCGACUCCUGAUUAACUCCUCGAUUAGCCACCUAUUUCGGUACUUAUUCCCUCUGUGGUUUCUUCUUUCUCUCUUCAUAGCAUCUUGAAAAGCGCUAAAGAGGAUCUCCUGAUUGAAGCAUUUGAUUUUUUAGAUGGUACGUUUGAAAGAACCGUUCUACUCCCAUUCUACCCCUUCGUCAACAAUACCAACCUCUAUCGUCGCUCUCCGCCAGCAUCCCCCUUGGUGCACCUCGAUUAUAAUCUCUAGCGGAAGUAAUAUGGGGAAAAUUGAUGUCGAUGCUUUUUUGUGUAUACCGCCCCUCCUUUUAUCCAAACGCAGACCAUCGGACCACCAAUCUCGCAGCUAUUGCACCUCCACUGAUUUCAUACCAUCUCCUGAGGUUCUUCGAUGUCGGCUACAAUCAAUCGCCUCAGCCUAAGGGGUUCUUCAAAUCCACAGCCGGACACCGCCUAAUUCGCCAAGUGCCGAAUUUCUACCCAUCAGAUCAGGUUCGUUGUAUUGCAUGAUACUCUUCCAUUGAUCCUAAUUUAAUCUAUUAUUAUACGCUUAUGUGAUUCAUCCACCAAAACCUUGAUUUGACUCUUGUACAUAUACUAGAAUUUCUUGUAGGGUAUUGCACAUCAACAUUUUUCUAAUGUUAUUUUGCAUAAUAGAAGAACGUUCUUUUGAGGUUCAACAGAACGGUCUUAACUUGAAGUUGAACUUUCCUUGAACCAAAACCUGCAACAAAGGUCAUCACUCAUUUAUGAUUUAAUUAUAUAAUCCGGCUCAAAUUUCCAAUCAAAUCAAUUGUUUCCUUAUGGAGUUUUUAUUGGAUGCAAAAGAAAUAAAAAUACCAAUUUACAGGUACUGAUUCUUAUAAAUUCAACUCUAACGCUUCCUUUUUCACUCCCAUUUCCAUUUAAAUAUAAAAAAAUUCUUUAUCUAAUUCCUUUUUAUUUUAGGUCAGUAGUUGUAUGGGGAAGAUGAGUCAGGAUUCAACGAGAUGUUGGUAAGACAAAGUUCAUGGUCCUUCUGAAAGAGAAACCACUUUAGCAUCUUUACUUCAACAACAUCCUGAUCUAAUCAUUGUAGACUUCACUGUGCACCUGAUGUUGUAAAUGAUAAUACUGAAUUGUUUUGGAAGACUGGAGUUGCUUUUGUGAUGAGAACUAUUGGUGGAGAUAGGGAUCUUUUGUAUAAAAAUUGGGAACAAUCAAAGCUUUAUGCAGUCAUAUCUCCUCAAAUGGGAAAACAUGGUCACAAUUUAUUUAUUUUCUUAUUUAAAUUGGAUGUUUAAUCUCACAUCAUUUGUUUUUUUAGGUUGUGACAUUUCUUGGAUAUUAAAGUAGGAUGCACGUAAUAAAAGAACAACUACUUUUUCAUGUGUUUCAGAGUUUGUCUAUUUGUAUUUAUUUGGAAAUGAAUUUGGUCGGGAGGGACUAAUCUUGGAUAAAGGAACGGAAGUUUGAAUACACACGGGAUAUACCCGUAUCCCUUUUCCCCCCACAUCGCAUCUUCAACCCUAACCUAAGAAACCAUUUCCAGCCGCCAUGCGUGAGUUGCCAGCCGCCGCUUCCCCUCUUCGUUCGUUUUUCGAUCAGACGAAGCCACCUCGCCCCUGGAACGCCAUCGCAAAACUGCUGCUGGUCGGAGACGUCGUUGACAGCUCGGAGAGCCACCAAGAUCGGUGGCAGUCGCCGUUUUCGCUGCUGAGAGGGUCAUGCGUGACCUGAGGGUCCUCGGAAAAAUGAAGAAAACUCAUCACCACAACCUUCUGCCGCCAUUCCGCCACCGUUAGCCACCAUCUCUGGUGGCUGUGGGAUUUCGAGUGCGUUUAGAUUGAUGAUUGAAGUACUUUUGGUGUUGCGUUGGCCCAAGAUCAUAACAGCCACCACCGUAGGGUGGUGGCUGCCGCUAAGCACCGCCGCCGGCCACCAUGGUGUGACUGGGUGUGUGUUAGUUAGUGUGUGUGUGUGUUUAUGUUUGGAUUAAACGUUGUAAUUGUACUUAGCUUUGGUUAAUAAUAAAAAUAAUGUUAACCACCACCGUAAGGU
Non-coding RNA from Lactuca sativa (garden lettuce), 2216 nucleotides. The record is from RefSeq and is a predicted model, not a curated record. NCBI's taxonomy places the organism in Eukaryota, Viridiplantae, Streptophyta, Magnoliopsida, Asterales, Asteraceae.